RNAcentral lists this ribosomal RNA (1149 nucleotides) under oral metagenome. Its description in RNAcentral is "bacterial LSU rRNA". It matches the Rfam family "Bacterial large subunit ribosomal RNA", at positions 1782 to 2925 of the family's 2925-position model. The record is from RNAcentral.
GUGAAGAACGAGGGGGAACUGUUUAACUAAAACACAGCUCUAUGCUAAGUUGUAAAACAACGUAUAUGGGGUGACACCUGCCCAGUGCUGGAAGGUUAAAGAAGGAGGUUAGCAGCAAUGCGAAGCUUUCGACUGAAGCCCUAGUGAACGGCGGCCGUAACUAUAACGGUCCUAAGGUAGCGAAAUUCCUUGUCAGGUAAAUUCUGUCCCGCUUGAAUGGUGUAAUCAUCUCUUGACUGUCUCGACUGUAGACUCGGUGAAAUUCUGGUAUGGGUGAAUACGCCCAUUAGACGCAAUUGGAACGAAAGACCCCAUGAAGCUUUACUGUAGCCUGAUAUUGAAAAAAUUUGGUUCAUGUAGAGGAUAGGUAGGAGACUAUGAUGCAUAUUCGCUAGGAUAUGCGGAGUCACCCUUGGAAUACUACCCUUGAAUUACAUUUUUUCUAACUUACUUGCUUGAAUCAGCAAAAAGGACAUUGUCAGGUGGGCAGUUUGACUGGGGCGGUCGCCUCCCAAAAGGUAACGGAGGCGCGCAAAGGUACCCUCAGCACAGUUGGAUAUUGUGUUUCGAGUGCAAUGGCAUAAGGGUGCUUGACUGCGAGACUUACAAGUCGAGCAGGUAGGAAACUAGGUCAUAGUGAUCCGGUGGUUUCAGUAUGGAAUGGCCAUCGCUCAACGGAUAAAAGCUACUCUGGGGAUAACAGGCUGAUACUGCCCAAGAGUUCACAUCGACGGCAGUGUUUGGCACCUCGAUGUCGACUCAUCUCAUCCUGGAGCUGUAGCAGGUUCCAAGGGUUCGACUGUUCGCCGAUUAAAGAGAUACGUGAGUUGGGUUCAAACCGUCGUGAGACAGGUUGGUCCCUAUCUGUUGCGUCUGUAGGAAGAUUGUGGAGAGCUGCUCCUAGUACGAGAGGACCGGAGUGGACAUACCUCUAGUGCUCCAGUUGUCACGCCCGUGGCACCGCUGGGUAGCUACGUAUGGAAUUGAUAAACGCUGAAAGCAUCUAAGCGUGAAACAAACUCCGAAACUAAUCUUCCCACCCCUUUUGGGGAUAAGGAUCGUUGUAGAUGACAACGUUGAUAGGUUGGAAGUGUAAGCAUGGUGACAUGUUCAGCUGACCAAUACUAAUAAUCCGAAAGACUUCUUAUA